CGACUGYUGCUGCCUUCCCUCAGAGGCAGAGACACUCUCAGUAUGGAAGGACCUGUUAAGAGACUGAGCAAAACCAUUGCUACAGAAUGCAAACAACUGCAUCUUCUCCCUGAUGGCAUUACUGGGAAAAUGCAAAAGAGAAACACCAAAAUCUAGGAUUUACUGCAGUUACACCAGGAACAAGGAAUAUUCCUUAUCUUAGAUUAUAAAGACAAACCAUAUAUGGGGAGAGACAGUUGUCGUGUCCUUUUGGAAGGAUCAUGCCCUCCUGUGGCAYGAAAGUGCUUCUAUGGCUGCAGAGAGGUGAAAUACAAUACAAACGUUUCUGCUGUGCCCAUGAGAUCCUGCUGCCUGGAGAUCAUGUCGGGCCCAGUUU
Molecule: long non-coding RNA, 376 nt
Organism: Nothoprocta perdicaria
Lineage: Eukaryota; Metazoa; Chordata; Aves; Tinamiformes; Tinamidae
Exons: 4
Source: RefSeq, a predicted model, not a curated record